CCAUGCUUUUUUCAAAGAGUGCGGAUCCUUUGUAGUACCAUGAUGCAUUGUAUGGUACAGUGCAUCACGCAUUCCAUCCAUCAUGCGAUAGAUGACUGUGUAUGGCCACGCAUGUGCGUACACACGGUCGCAUGUAUCAUUCAUCGUGUGAUGGAUAGAGCACGCAUUGCACCGCACCAUACGGUGCACUGCAGAAGAUCCAUGUGGUUUUUGAAAACCACAGUGCUUCCAUGCGGCUUCCUUCGGUUAUCUUAAAAGGGACACAUGACGGACGGAGGCUUCUCAACGA
RNAcentral lists this long non-coding RNA (289 nucleotides) under Elaeis guineensis (African oil palm). RNAcentral's name for it is "long non-coding RNA (EGUI_LNC015179)". Lineage: Eukaryota; Viridiplantae; Streptophyta; Magnoliopsida; Arecales; Arecaceae. The record is from RNAcentral.